GUUGAACGCUGGCGGCAUGCCUUACACAUGCAAGUCGAACGGCAGCACGGGGGGCAACCCUGGUGGCGAGUGGCGAACGGGUGAGUAAUGCAUCGGAACGUGCCCCGUAGCGGGGGAUAACCAGUCGAAAGACUGGCUAAUACCGCAUACGCUCCACGGAGGAAAGCAGGGGAUCGCAAGACCUUGCACUAUGGGAGCGGCCGAUGCCCGAUUAGCUAGUUGGUGAGGAAAGGCUCACCAAGGCGACGAUCGGUAGCUGGUUUGAGAGAACGACCAGCCACACUGGGACUGAGACACGGCCCAGACUCCUACGGGAGGCAGCAGUGGGGAAUUUUGGACAAUGGGCGCAAGCCUGAUCCAGCCAUGCCGCGUGCGGGAUGAAGGCC
Molecule: ribosomal RNA, 386 nt
Filed under: uncultured bacterium
Lineage: Bacteria
Description: bacterial SSU rRNA
Rfam family: Bacterial small subunit ribosomal RNA
Source: RNAcentral